Molecule: long non-coding RNA, 649 nt
Organism: Coregonus clupeaformis (lake whitefish)
Lineage: Eukaryota; Metazoa; Chordata; Actinopteri; Salmoniformes; Salmonidae
Exons: 3
Source: RefSeq, a predicted model, not a curated record
AUACCAUGCAGUGAGGACUUCAGCCUGAUCAAAUCUAAUUGCUGAGAGUUUUGACCAAUCGUAUGUGUGUGUGUGGUUCUUUUUCAGACCUGAUAGUUAAUCUUGUCAGUGAAUGCAAGUCACAUGCCAUAGGUUGUGUGUAUCCGUAAACUUAAAAUCUAGUGUACUGUAGGUCUGAAUAACUGUUUUGAACCUUUAGGAGCCAGAUGCUGACUUCCUCCUAUCCUGCUUUGUGCCGGUUCUGAGUGGAAAGGGAACUUGUCGCUGGCAUCUUGAAUCUCAAAUCAUGAACCACAUGCAGGACUUCUUGAAGAGAUUGAGUCGACAGGUCAAACUGAUGGGAUGCAGCCAGAGGAUGAGAUGCAGGAAAACAAGUGUACAGGACCAAUGGAAGGCAAACGACAAUAUGAGCGAGUAACCAUCCCAUCCGUCAUGCAGUGGUUGAGCGGCCAAGCCCACGUGGUCUUACUACCAAGAGAAAGGAGAGAUUUUAUCAUCAAUGUCCUCUUUGAUCAUGACUGUCUUGUGUGCAUCCCUAGUUACAGUUUGUGUUUUCCUACAGUAAGUGCUUGCUCAAAAACUGUCACGUUACCAACUGCACACGAGAACCUAUGCAGAGUUUAAUCAUGUCUUCACACAGGCAAUUUGC